Molecule: ribosomal RNA, 253 nt
Filed under: uncultured bacterium
Lineage: Bacteria
Description: partial 16S ribosomal RNA
Rfam family: Bacterial small subunit ribosomal RNA
Source: RNAcentral
UACGUAGGGGGCAAGCGUUGUCCGGAAUCAUUGGGCGUAAAGAGCGUGUAGGCGGCCAGAUAAGUCCGCUGUGAAAACUCGAGGCUCAACUUCGAGCUGUCGGCGGAAACUAUCUGGCUAGAGUCCGGAAGAGGAGAGUGGAAUUCCUGGUGUAGCGGUGAAAUGCGCAGAUAUCGGGAGGAACACCAGUGGCGAAGGCGGCGAUCUGGGAAGAUACUGACGCUGAGGUGCGAAAGCGUGGGGAGCAAACAGG